AAGGAGUCUAACAUGCUCGCGAGUGUUAGGGUGGAAAACCCUUGCGCAGAAUGAAAGUAAAAGUUGGGAACCUCCGCAAGGGGGCGCACCGACGCCCGGCCCAGAAGUUUACGGACGGUGCUGCGGUAGAGCGCGUAUGUUGGGACCCGAAAGAUGGUGAACUAUGCCUGAAUAGGGCGAAGCCAGGGGAAACCCUGUGUGGAGGCUCGUAGCGAUUCUGACGUGCAAAUCGAUCGUCAAAUUUGGGUAUAGGGGCGAAAGACUAAUCGAACCAUCUAGUAGCUGGUUCCUGC
This 293-nucleotide unclassified non-coding RNA is filed under the name uncultured fungus. Its description in RNAcentral is "partial contains 5.8S rRNA, ITS2 and 28S rRNA". It matches the Rfam family "Eukaryotic large subunit ribosomal RNA", at positions 668 to 961 of the family's 3401-position model. Lineage: Eukaryota; Fungi. The record is from RNAcentral.